AACUGAUACUACCUGCGGGAACCUGCGGAGGGAUCAUUACCGAGUUUACAACUCCCAAACCCCAUGUGAACAUACCUGUUUCGUUCCCUCGGCGGUGUCCGGCAACGGCCCGCCAGAGGACCCAACAAACUCUUUUGAAUUUUUCAGUAUCUUCUGAGUGAAAAAAACAAUAAAUCAAAACUUUUAGCAAUGGAUCUCU
Molecule: unclassified non-coding RNA, 199 nt
Filed under: soil metagenome
Description: partial contains 5.8S ribosomal RNA, internal transcribed spacer 2, and large subunit ribosomal RNA
Source: RNAcentral